Molecule: ribosomal RNA, 439 nt
Filed under: uncultured bacterium
Lineage: Bacteria
Description: partial 16S ribosomal RNA
Rfam family: Bacterial small subunit ribosomal RNA
Source: RNAcentral
CUACGGGGUGCUCCAGUGAGGAAUAUUGCACAAUGGGGGGAACCCUGAUGCAGCAACGCCGCGUGGAGGAUGACGCAUUUCGGUGUGUAAACUCCUUUUAUAUGUCAAGAAAAUGACGGUAGCAUAUGAAUAAGCACCGGCUAACUCCGUGCCAGCAGCCGCGGUAAUACGGAGGGUGCAAGCGUUACUCGGAAUCACUGGGCGUAAAGGACGCGUAGGCUGGUUGGUAAGUCAGGUGUGAAAUCCUACAGCUUAACUGUAGAACUGCACUUGAAACUACCAACCUAGAGUAUGGGAGGGGGAGAUGGAAUUAGUGGUGUAGGGGUAAAAUCCGUAGAUAUCACUAGGAAUACCGAAAGCGAAGGCGAUCUCCUGGAACAUAACUGACGCUAAGGCGUGAAAGCGUGGGGAGCAAACAGGAUUAGAUACCCCGGUAGUC